This 1368-nucleotide ribosomal RNA is filed under the name metagenome. Its description in RNAcentral is "bacterial LSU rRNA". It matches the Rfam family "Bacterial large subunit ribosomal RNA", at positions 1565 to 2925 of the family's 2925-position model. The record is from RNAcentral.
GAUAACGAGUCUGCUUGCAGACGAAGUGAGUGAUACCCUGCUUCCAGGAAAAGCCACUAAGCUUCAGCUAUUGACGACCGACCGCAAACCGACACUGGUGCGCGAGAUGAGUAUUCUAAGGCGCUUGAGAGAACUCAGGAGAAGGAACUCGGCAAAUUGAUACCGUAACUUCGGGAGAAGGUAUGCCCCAAUUAGGUGAACCUGUACAAGGCAAGCCAAAAGGGGUUGCAAAAAAUCGGUGGCUGCGACUGUUUAAUAAAAACACAGCACUCUGCAAACACGAAAGUGGACGUAUAGGGUGUGACGCCUGCCCGGUGCUGGAAGAUUAAAUGAUGGGGUGCAAGCUCUUGAUUGAAGUCCCAGUAAACGGCGGCCGUAACAAUAACGGUCCUAAGGUAGCGAAAUUCCUUGUCGGGUAAGUUCCGACCUGCACGAAUGGCGUAACGAUGGCCACACUGUCUCCUCCUGAGACUCAGCGAAGUUGAAAUGUUUGUGAUGAUGCAAUCUCCCCGCGGAAAGACGGAAAGACCCCAUGAACCUUUACUGUAGCUUUGUAUUGGACUUUGAACGGAUCUGUGUAGGAUAGGUGGGAGGCUUUGAAGUGUGGUCGCUAGAUCACAUGGAGCCAACGUUGAAAUACCACCCUGGUGCGUUUGAGGUUCUAACCCAGGUCCCUUAUCGGGAUCGGGAACAGUGCAUGGUAGGCAGUUUGACUGGGGCGGUCUCCUCCCAAAGCGUAACGGAGGAGUUCGAAGGUACGCUAGUUACGGUCGGACAUCGUGACGAUAGUGCAAUGGCAUAAGCGUGCUUAACUGCGAGACUGACAAGUCGAGCAGAUGCGAAAGCAGGACAUAGUGAUCCGGUGGUUCUGUAUGGAAGGGCCAUCGCUCGACGGAUAAAAGGUACUCUGGGGAUAACAGGCUGAUACCGCCCAAGAGUUCAUAUCGACGGCGGUGUUUGGCACCUCGAUGUCGGCUCAUCUCAUCCUGGGGCUGUAGCCGGUACCAAGGGUAUGGCUGUUCGCCAUUUAAAGAGGUACGUGAGCUGGGUUUAAAACGUCGUGAGACAGUUUGGUCCCUAUCUUCCGUGGGCGCUGCAGAUUUGAGGAAGCCUGCUCCUAGUACGAGAGGACCGGAGUGGACACACCUCUGGUGUACCUGUUGUCACGCCAGUGGCAUCGCAGGGUAGCUAAGUGUGGAAGAGAUAACCGCUGAAAGCAUCUAAGCGGGAAACUCGUUUCAAGAUGAGAUCUGCCGGGGGCUUGACCCCCCUGAAGAGUCGUUCUAGACCAGGACGUUGAUAGGCUGGGUGUGUAAGCGCAGUAAUGCGUUCAGCUAACCAGUACUAAUUGCUCGUGCGGCUUGACCU